Molecule: ribosomal RNA, 459 nt
Filed under: uncultured bacterium
Lineage: Bacteria
Description: partial 16S ribosomal RNA
Rfam family: Bacterial small subunit ribosomal RNA
Source: RNAcentral
CCUACGGGAGGCAGCAGUGAGGAAUAUUGGUCAAUGGCCGGAAGGCUGAACCAGCCAAGCCGCGUGAAGGACGACGGUGCCAAGCAUUGUAAACUUCUUUUGUCAAGGGACAAAAUCAGGCUCGAGCGCCUGACCGAGGGUACUUGAAGAAAAAGCAUCGGCUAACUCCGUGCCAGCAGCCGCGGUAAUACGGAGGAUGCGAGCGUUAUCCGGAUUUAUUGGGGUUAAAGGGUGCGUAGGCGGACUGUUAAGUCAGCGGUAAAAGCCCGGGGCUAAACCCCGGCGCGCCGUUGAAACUGGUGGUCUUGAGAUGUCGAGAGGUAUGCGGAAUGCACGGUGUAGCGGUGAAAUGCUUAGAGAUUGCGCAGAACACCGAUUGCGAAGGCAGCAUACCGGCGGCGAUCUGACGCUGAGGCACGAAAGCGUGGGUAUCGAACAGGAUUAGAUACCCUUGUAGUC